AUGGAGGUUUCGGAAGAUCGUAGAGUUCCUUUGGUCGCAUACAAGCUGAAAGGAGAAACCGGUGCAUGGUGGCAUCACGUUCAAGAGGAGCGCAGGCUGAGAGGAGAACCUCGUGUUAGAAAUUGGCGAAAAAUGAAAGGCGUCUUGAAAGGGAGAUUUUUACCCGCUGAUUAUGACCAGAUCCUAUUUAUCCAAUUUCAAAAUUGUGCUCAAGGAAAUAGGAUUGUUUCAGAUUACACGGAGGAGUUUCUAAGGCUACAAGUGAGGUGCAACCUUGCUAAAACUGAAGAGCAACAAGUUGCAAGGUACAUCAAUGGUCUCAAUGAUGCUAUUCAAGAUCGAUUGAUGAUGCAACAAAUCUGGUCCGCUGAUCAAGCACAAGCUCUAGCCUUAAAGGCCGAGAGGUUUGUGAGGAUGAGAAAGACAACUAAGGCUCCAUAUCCUCCAUAUCCUCAUACCGAAGGCUCAUCUAGGAGCCAACCUAAUAGAGUGGAAGAAAAGACCACUCCACCAAAGACAAAAUAG
RNAcentral lists this ribosomal RNA (525 nucleotides) under Triticum aestivum (bread wheat). Its description in RNAcentral is "partial small subunit ribosomal RNA". Lineage: Eukaryota; Viridiplantae; Streptophyta; Magnoliopsida; Poales; Poaceae. The record is from RNAcentral.